AUCACGGUAGACUGAGCCAGAUCUGUGACUAGAUUUAAUCAAAUUUCAUUCAGUGCUGCAGUUUAACUAAUAGAUACUCAAACAUUGAAUGAUUGAAAUAAUAUGCUCUUCUCCUAACUGUACUAAGCCAAUAGUAAUCUCUGGCCCAGAUAUCUAAUCAUUGGUCACUAUGAGACAUGUACCCUUACCUAACUAUCACCACAUGAUUUGGCUGGUCAGAAAAUUAGUUAGAACUUGAGCUAUAUAAUCCUGGUCAGUAGAGGAUAUUAUUAUAUGCAAGCAUCUUAUAUUGCCAAGGUUUCAUGUCAUGUAAUCUUCUGCAGAUGAUAUAACAAUCUUAUACUAUCGGUGUGCAAAUUUGAAGCGUUAUUUAGAUGCACAUUAAUCGUUAAUGCAGGAGUGGGAAUUUUCAGUUUUCAGGUAUGUACUUUACCAGGAAACCAAUAGGCCAAGAUAGAAGAGCUAUAACAUUGCCCCCAGUUCAGCCUCUCUGUACCAGCAUACUUGUUUAAACAUUCAUCCAUCAGAGCUUGGAUAAGAACUGUUAUCCCAAUAAUUCCUAUAAACGUUUUGCUCUUUUGUAUCCCCUCAAAUAUAUUCUUGUUUUCUAGAUUCCUCCCAUUGAAUGCGAGGAAUCUAGAAAACAAGAAUAUAUUUGAGGGGAUACAAAAGAGCAAGACGUUUAUAGGAAUUAUUGAGAUCACGGUUAUUAUCCAAGCUCUGAUGGUUGAAUGUUUAAACAAGUAUGCUGGUACAGAUAGGUUGAACUGGGGGCAAUUGAAGAGCUUGCUGGUGAGUUUGCCUGUUUAAAUAUGGAUGAAGACUUGGAUGGUCGACGAAAAUAUAAAGUCUGGAAAGCUCUGCUUCAAGUUUUAUAUUCCUGGAUUAGUUUUUUUUUUUUUUGCAAUAUGUAACUGGACUACUAAAUACCUUUGUCAUUUUUCAUAAUCAGACUUAUUGUAUCAACUACUAGCUUAUAACCCGUGCAAGGCACGGGAGCUUUUUAAUUAUUUAUAAACUUUUUAAAUAUA
Daucus carota subsp. sativus is the source of this 1031-nucleotide long non-coding RNA. RefSeq lists it as uncharacterized. The record is from RefSeq and is a predicted model, not a curated record. Lineage: Eukaryota; Viridiplantae; Streptophyta; Magnoliopsida; Apiales; Apiaceae. The transcript is spliced from 3 exons.